Molecule: ribosomal RNA, 1372 nt
Filed under: uncultured bacterium
Lineage: Bacteria
Description: bacterial SSU rRNA
Rfam family: Bacterial small subunit ribosomal RNA
Source: RNAcentral
GAUGAACGCUGGCGGCGUGCCUAAUACAUGCAAGUCGAGCGAACGGACGAGAAGCUUGCUUCUCUGAUGUUAGCGGCGGACGGGUGAGUAACACGUGGAUAACCUACCUAUAAGACUGGGAUAACUUCGGGAAACCGGAGCUAAUACCGGAUAAUAUUUUGAACCGCAUGGUUCAAAAGUGAAAGACGGUCUUGCUGUCACUUAUAGAUGGAUCCGCGCUGCAUUAGCUAGUUGGUAAGGUAACGGCUUACCAAGGCAACGAUGCAUAGCCGACCUGAGAGGGUGAUCGGCCACACUGGAACUGAGACACGGUCCAGACUCCUACGGGAGGCAGCAGUAGGGAAUCUUCCGCAAUGGGCGAAAGCCUGACGGAGCAACGCCGCGUGAGUGAUGAAGGUCUUCGGAUCGUAAAACUCUGUUAUUAGGGAAGAACAUAUGUGUAAGUAACUGUGCACAUCUUGACGGUACCUAAUCAGAAAGCCACGGCUAACUACGUGCCAGCAGCCGCGGUAAUACGUAGGUGGCAAGCGUUAUCCGGAAUUAUUGGGCGUAAAGCGCGCGUAGGCGGUUUUUUAAGUCUGAUGUGAAAGCCCACGGCUCAACCGUGGAGGGUCAUUGGAAACUGGAAAACUUGAGUGCAGAAGAGGAAAGUGGAAUUCCAUGUGUAGCGGUGAAAUGCGCAGAGAUAUGGAGGAACACCAGUGGCGAAGGCGACUUUCUGGUCUGUAACUGAUGCUGAUGUGCGAAAGCGUGGGGAUCAAACAGGAUUAGAUACCCUGGUAGUCCACGCCGUAAACGAUGAGUGCUAAGUGUUAGGGGGUUUCCGCCCCUUAGUGCUGCAGCUAACGCAUUAAGCACUCCGCCUGGGGAGUACGACCGCAAGGUUGAAACUCAAAGGAAUUGACGGGGACCCGCACAAGCGGUGGAGCAUGUGGUUUAAUUCGAAGCAACGCGAAGAACCUUACCAAAUCUUGACAUCCUUUGACAACUCUAGAGAUAGAGCCUUCCCCUUCGGGGGACAAAGUGACAGGUGGUGCAUGGUUGUCGUCAGCUCGUGUCGUGAGAUGUUGGGUUAAGUCCCGCAACGAGCGCAACCCUUAAGCUUAGUUGCCAUCAUUAAGUUGGGCACUCUAAGUUGACUGCCGGUGACAAACCGGAGGAAGGUGGGGAUGACGUCAAAUCAUCAUGCCCCUUAUGAUUUGGGCUACACACGUGCUACAAUGGACAAUACAAAGGGCAGCGAAACCGCGAGGUCAAGCAAAUCCCAUAAAGUUGUUCUCAGUUCGGAUUGUAGUCUGCAACUCGACUACAUGGAGCUGGAAUCGCUAGUAAUCGUAGAUCAGCAUGCUACGGUGAAUACGUUCCCGGGUCU